RNAcentral lists this long non-coding RNA (637 nucleotides) under Vigna radiata. Its description in RNAcentral is "long non-coding RNA (VRAD_LNC001253)". The record is from RNAcentral. Lineage: Eukaryota; Viridiplantae; Streptophyta; Magnoliopsida; Fabales; Fabaceae.
AUACAUACAGAUUCUCUUAAUAAAUAUCAUAGAAGGUUGGUGAUGGGUCAUGGUCCUGGUUUAUGCGACUGCUUCUCAAACUGUGGUUCUUGUAUCAACUCAUUUUCCCUCUUCCAUUAUCUUUAACCAUAUCAUAUACUUAGUUUAUUUGUUUCAUAAUUAUCAAACAUAUUAAGCUACCUUCAUUUUAUGCUCUUUAGUCUCUUAUCUGCAGGUUGUCUCACUCUUUGUCCAAUAAGUUCUCGAGGCCUUGAAGUUGUGUUACAGAGUACAUGAACAAAAUCACUUCUGUUAAAGCACAAUUUUGGCUCACUCUUUGUGGGAAAAUUGACCUACUCAGGCAAAAAACAUGUAUGCUUUGAAUAUAAAUCACAAAUUUAUGUUGAUGGAGCUAUUAAAAAUUAACAUGAAAUUUAGUUACAUUGCAUCUGACAUAUAUAUAUAUAUGGCUUAGUUAUGGGAUGAUACAUUUCAACUAAUAUCAACAUCACACAGUCUUUUUAUGCUUUUAAAAUUAAAUUGGAGUAGAGCUUUUUCAUAGGUCAAGGUGCUAAGUUUGGAUACCUUGCCUUCAAUUCUUACAUCUUCUCCUUUACUUUACCUUAUGAUUCUAACUUGCUUAUGUUUUAUGAUGCAG